UGAUGUGUCAAAUCAAGAGCUGGAUAAAGUGGGGAGCAGUGAAAACAUUCCACAGACUCCAAAUGGAGUUGUGGAGAACACUGAUGAGUUUCUAGAUACUGAAGCUCAGGACAUCAUGACACAACCUGACCCAACUGAGAAACCACACGUUGUUCCAAAUAACUCAGCCAGUACAUGUGAAUCAGACAAUCAUAGCUCUCCACAAACUCCUGAUGGACAUGUGACCAAAGAGGACAUCUGUCCUGAGAGGAAGGACAACAUGUCUGAAAAGACCGAUUCAACCAAUGACCAAGAAAACGCUGAUAAUCAGAAGAAGCCUGUGGUGAAAACAAAUUCUCUGAAAGGUCCGGCAAAAGGCAAACUAGGAUCCUGGUCCAAAGGAAAGAGUCCUUUGUCAAAGCUCUUCACAUCGACAGCUAAUAAAGCUGAACCAAAAGAUGCCAAGAAAACAGAUGGUAAAACUAGUGGAGGACUGUUAGGAAGACUGCUCCACUCAUCCUCAGAGAAGGUGGAGGAGGUCACAAAAUCAGCUGUCCAGGAUGGAGGAAAUGCUGAUGACCAGAGAGAAGAGAUGGAAAGAGAGAUUCGAAUGGAAGAAGAUGUGUCUGGAGUCCCACUUGUAGAACAAAAUGCUGGGAGCCAUAUUGAUGUCACAGCACAGUGUUCUGAGCCCAGCACAGUGGAUCCUGACCUCAGGUCUACAGAGGCCAACCUGCCCCACACCACUGUGAGCAAAACAGGCGACAAUGUCACAGCUCCGGUGCAACCUGACAAAAACCCAUCCGAUUCGCAGAGCAGUGAGGGCACAGCCCCGACUGUCAGUGAGCCCAACCAGCUACUCUCUGCUGACCAGUCAGUCAACACAGUGCAUGAGGAGUCAGUCAGUAACCUAACACCUGAGAAAAGCAGUGAAGAAAUAGUAACUGGUCCAUUUAAUGAUGAUAUAUUUGGAGACUCUUUCAGCCCACACGCCACACUUAACCCGCUGGCCAUUCAGAUCAACAGUGAUGAGCUGAACAAACAGUCUGAGGCAGCAGAUGAAGAAGGGGAUGACCUGAACAAAGGGGCUUUGGAUCUCAGCCACAAAGAGCCACAAGAUCCCUUUAGUGGUUUUGGUCUGCCUGAUGCACCCAGUGACACAGUCUCAUCUCCUCUGGGAAACACAGCUUUGUCUGCUGAAGACUCAUCUGAAAGUUUGAUUGUCUCUCAACCAAUAUCAGCUGAAAAUGAAGUGAUGUCAGACCAGCUCAUUGUCCCAGACUCAGUACCUUUAAACCAAGAUGAAACCUCAGAUCCUUUUGGUGCAGCUACGCUGGACUCUAGCUUUGACAUAUUCAGCCCAAAUGAUGACCCUCUAACCGCACCUCCUGCUGUUGAUGUAUCCAAUAAAGUCGGAGCAAAUCAACCACCUGCCUUUACUGAUGACAUCUUUGGAAUGAGUGAUGUCUCAAACGGUGCAGAUGUGUUCACAGCUCCUCUAAACGGCGCUGUCUCCUCUAGUGCACUGACUGAUUUGCUUGGGUCUGACGUGUCCCUCACCGCUGCUCCUUCAGCUCAGGUAGACCUUUUUGCCGAUGAUAUCUUUGCAUCAGAGGCACAGCUGCUGCCAGAGUCAGAGGUCAGCGGUGCCGGUGUGUUUGCAGACGGUCUAUUAGUGUCUGAAAAUAAUCUCCUCAACACUGAGCAGAAGACAGAGAACAGUAGCUGGAUGGAUGAUUUGCUUGGGUAAUAGCACAGUUAUGGUUUAAUGAUAUACUUGUAAAAGCACUUCAUC
This is a long non-coding RNA of Parambassis ranga (Indian glassy fish), 1774 nucleotides long. The record is from Ensembl. NCBI's taxonomy places the organism in Eukaryota, Metazoa, Chordata, Actinopteri, Ambassidae.